UGCAGUCGAGCGGACAGAUGGGAGCUUGCUCCCUGAUGUUAGCGGCGGACGGGUGAGUAACACGUGGGUAACCUGCCUGUAAGACUGGGAUAACUCCGGGAAACCGGGGCUAAUACCGGAUGGUUGUCUGAACCGCAUGGUUCAGACAUAAAAGGUGGCUUCGGCUACCACUUACAGAUGGACCCGCGGCGCAUUAGCUAGUUGGUGAGGUAACGGCUCACCAAGGCGACGAUGCGUAGCCGACCUGAGAGGGUGAUCGGCCACACUGGGACUGAGACACGGCCCAGACUCCUACGGGAGGCAGCAGUAGGGAAUCUUCCGCAAUGGACGAAAGUCUGACGGAGCAACGCCGCGGUGAGUGAUGAAGGUUUUCGGAUCGUAAAGCUCUGUUGUUAGGGAAGAACAAGUGCCGUUCAAAUAGGGCGGCACCUUGACGGUACCUAACCAGAAAGCCACGGCUAACUACGUGCCAGCAGCCGCGGUAAUACGUAGGUGGCAAGCGUUGUCCGGAAUUAUUGGGCGUAAAGGGCUCGCAGGCGGUUUCUUAAGUCUGAUGUGAAAGCCCCCGGCUCAACCGGGGAGGGUCAUUGGAAACUGGGGAACUUGAGUGCAGAAGAGGAGAGUGGAAUUCCACGUGUAGCGGUGAAAUGCGUAGAGAUGUGGAGGAACACCAGUGGCGAAGGCGACUCUCUGGUCUGUAACUGACGCUGAGGAGCGAAAGCGUGGGGAGCGAACAGGAUUAGAUACCCUGGUAGUCCACGCCGUAAACGAUGAGUGCUAAGUGUUAGGGGGUUUCCGCCCCUUAGUGCUGCAGCUAACGCAUUAAGCACUCCGCCUGGGGAGUACGGUCGCAAGACUGAAACUCAAAGGAAUUGACGGGGGCCCGCACAAGCGGUGGAGCAUGUGGUUUAAUUCGAAGCAACGCGAAGAACCUUACCAGGUCUUGACAUCCUCUGACAAUCCUAGAGAUAGGACGUCCCCUUCGGGUGCAGAGGACAG
Molecule: ribosomal RNA, 999 nt
Filed under: Bacillus subtilis
Lineage: Bacteria; Bacillati; Bacillota; Bacilli; Caryophanales; Bacillaceae
Description: bacterial SSU rRNA
Rfam family: Bacterial small subunit ribosomal RNA
Source: RNAcentral